UUCGGCCAUCCCACAGACCCAGCCUCCUCCCCCUGGACGGGCACCAGGGCCGGGACAUGGCCGGGGACACUCCCACCCUCCUCUGGCACCACAAAGGGGCUUUGCCUGGAGCAGGAGGAGCCUCCAAGUCACCGCUACUGUAUCUGAGACCAGCUGAAUGUUCCCAGGGAAACGUCCAACGCCGGCUCUUGCUCAGGUAAAGCUGGAUGGGGAUGCAAAGGCUUUACCUGAGCAAAGCCCCUCUGGGCCUGUCACCAAAACCAACACGGGGCUCGUUUCUCCGAGGUCGGGGGAACAUCCUGGUGGUCGGGGGGAGUUCCUGGCUGUCCCCAGCCCUGCUGGACAGCCCUCGGCCUGGGCUGGUACCUCUGGGGCACAUGGUGACAGCUCUCCCACGUUCUGUCCUGCCUUCCUGCAUUUGGGCAAAUAUUGCACCUUUUUUAAGAGGGGAAGGGGAAGAAAAAAACCCCAGGCACACACACAAAACUUGUAGUUAAAUCCUGACUGAUGGGGGGGGGGCUUAAAAAGUCAGGGCUCAAUUUCCUGUAAGAGUGGGACUGUGGCUUCUGCCUGCCCUGCUCGAGCUGUGGGUGCCUGGGGCCACAUCUCAGCCACAUCCCUGCCUGUCCGUGUGUGUUCCCAGUCCAGGAAUGGGGUCUGGGCUCCCAGUGGCCACGGGAAGUGUCUGAGCCCACAGGGCCGAGGUCCCACGUCUUCCUCCCAGCAGGGCUGUGCUGUUGUGGUCGGCUCUGCGGGUCCUUGGCUGCCUGAGCCACCACUCCCAGGCACAGCCCGGCCCUUCCCACCAGCGCUUCCACCGCCUGGAGAAGCACCCGGAGCCUCGUGUUGGUCGUGUGUGCACCUUCAGAGCCCUCACUGGGGGGGGGGAGGGUGUGGUGGGAACCCUCCCAAAUCCCACUGUCUCCUCGUCCCCGGCGGCCGCGUGUCUCAUCCAGGGAUCUCUUUGUUUACUGUCUGCUUGUCCAAGACAUGUGUGUGUUGAUCUGACUUUUUGUUUUUACGAUUGAGUUCGAGUGGGGUGGUGAAGACUGAAUGCUGAUUUUUCUUUUCCUGUUGGCUUGAUUUAAUGCAGACCUGUGCUUGAAUGAAGAGUGUAGCUUAAAGCCAGGCUCUGGAAAGGCUGCAUCCGGAAGCGAACAAGCACAGCAGAUAGUGCAGGUGUAACUGCCAUGGGAACAAAGUCCUCCAGACUCUGAUUACUGUGCAACGUGGGGCACAACAGCCUGGUCAGGGCGUUUUCCUUCUGCAGGAGGAGGCUCCUGCUGCUCUAGGAAACCUCCAACGUGUGAGUUACAGCAGCAAGUAGCUGCUGUCUGAUGGGUUUGCUUUUGUAAAUUGGAAUCACUGUCACGCAAGAGACGAGACUUGAAACCCUGAGGUUGAGCUCGUGAGUUCGUGGGGCUCAACUCGGGGCCACUUGGUCACCCCUUGGUCGGCCCAUGGUCACACGGUACGGCCUGUGAGGAGCAACUGGGGCCUCCCCCAGGGCUGUGGAGUGAGCAGGUACCUCUGAGGGCUGAGGGAUGAACAGGUACCUCCCCAGGGCUGAGAAUGAACAGCUACCUCCCUCAAGGCUGAGAAUGAACAGGUACCUCCCCGUGGGCUGAGGAACAAACAGGUACCUCCCCCAGGGCUGAGAAUGAACAGGUACCUCCCCCAG
Corapipo altera (White-ruffed manakin) is the source of this 1681-nucleotide long non-coding RNA. RefSeq lists it as uncharacterized. The transcript is spliced from 2 exons. The record is from RefSeq and is a predicted model, not a curated record. NCBI's taxonomy places the organism in Eukaryota, Metazoa, Chordata, Aves, Passeriformes, Pipridae.